CAAAGUUAGAGACAGCAGCCCAUGAAAAAAUGGGAAAAAAACAAAGAAACUGAUUUGCUUCUUUUUUUUGUUCAUUCAAUACAGAAAUCCUAGCUUUUGGUGCAGGAAAAGGAGCUGAAUUUCAGCUGUCAUAGUCGUGGCAGAGCACCUGAAAAAACACCAAACCGAAGCACAAGCAAAGGCAAGGGGACUGGACCUGCUUGCGGGGGAAAC
Molecule: long non-coding RNA, 213 nt
Filed under: Theobroma cacao (cacao)
Lineage: Eukaryota; Viridiplantae; Streptophyta; Magnoliopsida; Malvales; Malvaceae
Description: long non-coding RNA (TCAC_LNC002718)
Source: RNAcentral